Molecule: ribosomal RNA, 500 nt
Filed under: uncultured bacterium
Lineage: Bacteria
Description: bacterial SSU rRNA
Rfam family: Bacterial small subunit ribosomal RNA
Source: RNAcentral
GAUGAACGCUAGCGGCAGGCUUAAUACAUGCAAGUCGAGGGGCAGCACGGUUAGCAAUAACUGGUGGCGACCGGCGCACGGGUGCGUAACACGUAUACAAUCUACCUUAAACAGGGGGAUAGCCUUUCGAAAGAGAGAUUAAUACCCCGUAAUAAAUUGAACGGCAUCGUUUGAUUUUGAAAGCUCCGGCGGUUUGAGAUGAGUAUGCGUCUGAUUAGCUAGUUGGUGAGGUAACGGCUCACCAAGGCGACGAUCAGUAGGGGAUCUGAGAGGACUAACCCCCACACUGGUACUGAGACACGGACCAGACUCCUACGGGAGGCAGCAGUAAGGAAUAUUGGUCAAUGGAGGCAACUCUGAACCAGCCAUGCCGCGUGCAGGAUGACGGCCCUAUGGGUUGUAAACUGCUUUUAUACAAGAGAAAACCCUGGUACGUGUACCAGGUUGAUAGUAUUGUAAGAAUAAGCAUCGGCUAACUUCGUGCCAGCAGCCGCGGUAAU